This 253-nucleotide ribosomal RNA is filed under the name uncultured bacterium. Its description in RNAcentral is "partial 16S ribosomal RNA". It matches the Rfam family "Bacterial small subunit ribosomal RNA", at positions 524 to 776 of the family's 1533-position model. The record is from RNAcentral.
UACGUAGGGAGCAAGCGUUGUCCGGAAUCAUUGGGCGUAAAGCGCGCGUAGGCGGCCCCGUAAGUCCGCUGUGAAAGUCAAAGGCUCAACCUUUGAAAGCCGGUGGAUACUGUGGGGCUAGAGUCCGGAAGAGGCGAGUGGAAUUCCGGGUGUAGCGGUGGAAUGCGUAGAGAUCCGGAAGAACACCGGUGGCGAAGGCGGCCUGCUGGGCAGUAGCUGACGCUGAUGCGCGACAGCGUGGGGAGCAAACAGG